Molecule: long non-coding RNA, 2286 nt
Organism: Salvia miltiorrhiza (redroot sage)
Lineage: Eukaryota; Viridiplantae; Streptophyta; Magnoliopsida; Lamiales; Lamiaceae
Exons: 4
Source: RefSeq, a predicted model, not a curated record
GGGAGCAAGUGGAUCGAAACAAACAAAGAAUUUCUCUCUCCCCCACUCCCCUAGUUCACGCCCCACACCCCCCUCUCUCUCUCUCAUUCUCAUCUCUCUUUCUUCUCCAUUAAUCCUCCAUGAUUGAAGAACACUAAAGCUUUUGGAUCAUCUUUACACAAAAGCCUUCCAUAGAAAUCAACCUAAAACACCUCUACCUCAAAUCAAGACCUAGAAAGAUGGAGUUUCAAGCUUGAAGCAGAGAAGAUUUUCACUCUUUCUUUUAAGUCUUGAAUACCAGUCGAGGACGCAAGUGAGAUCACCCCGAGAACCACUUGAAGUAAGCUAAGUUUAUCAGAGGUGACUACGAGCCGUCUAUCGGAUCGACCGGUCACGGUAAUCGGGAGGGAGGCCUACUUCUCGGUACCUUUGAUGAUGAAUUGUAGACGUGGAUAAGUAAGGAUGGAUGAUGGCGUGGUGUUGGCGGGGUUGUUGUUUCGGAUGUUUACUAUCUACCGUAUUUUCAUUUCAUAUUGUAGACCUCGACGUCCUAUUUCCUACUUCUAUGUGUUCUGGCUUCCUCCUCCUCAUCCGUGGCAGAAGAUCAACAUUGAUGGCUCGGUUCAUGGCUCCCCUCAUCUCAUUCAUGCUGGUGGGAUUAUUCGGGAUUCUUCGUCUGUUUUAGGUUGCUUCCAUUUCUCUGCUGGCCGUGGCUGGGCGUUUGAGGCUGAGCUUCUUGCCCUCAUUAUUGCUUUGGAGUAGAUUGUGGUUCAUGGUUGGGAUUAUGUGUGGAUCGAGAUGGACUGCACUUACAUGGUUGAUCUUUUUCAUUCUUGUUCCAACACGGUCCCUUGGAGGUUCUUCAGCCGUUGGAGAAAGGUACUCUCUUCCAUUGCUGGUCUUCAUAUUAUUAUCACUCACAUUUACAGGGAAGGGAAUCGUGUUGCUGAUUUCAUGGCCUCUUUGGUGGCGGAGGAAGGUUUCUGGCCUUUUGCGAUUCCGGAUAUCCUCCAGCUGGUUCGUGACGACAGGAGGCUCCUGCCUUAUGUUCGGAUUGUCACUUGAGGGAGCUGUGUUUUCCAGGGGAGUUUAUGUUCUCUUCUUGUUUUUUGUUUGUUUUCUCUUGUUUUGAGGUUAUCUUUUGGUUCUGCCUGUCUUGGGUGGUUGCCCCUUCCUCUCGGGUUUUACGAGCCUCUCUCGUUCCAUUGGUUUAGUGUUGGUUCUCUUGUGGCUCUGGUUUGUGUUGGUUUUGGUGGUUGGCUUGGUCCAUUUUGUUCUACGGUUCUUGAGCUGUGUAAGGAGUCUAAGGUUUUGGUCGCAACAUCUUCAUAAGCAAUUCAUGACAUGAUUUAUCCGGUAGAUGCUAGCAGGAGUGUUUUCAUUGCAAUAGGCUUAAUAUUUUUUCUCUGGUUUGUAUGGGUUGAUUGAAAUUUGAGCUUCUGGUCUUUGCUCCUCUGAUGGUCUCCUCAUUAUGAGCAUGGAAAACCUCACGAGAAGUCUUUGGUUACUUCCAAUUGCUUCAUCCCGUGAAGAUGGCCUUUCAAAGCAAAGCUUUUGAUCAUUUUAAAAAAUAAUGAGAUUUGAUUAUAAAAGUAAUUGCAUUAGGAGAUUCACUGCUAGCUGAGAAUUGGGUCUGAUUGGAUUAAUUUGUAUUAUCUUGAUGUUGCUUCUCAAUGCCUUAGCUCUGCACAUUUCUCGAGACUGGUGGUCACUUGAGGGUCUGGGUUUGGUUGGAGAUUGCUUGGUUGUUGAGCCUUUUGGGUUCCUUUGCCAUUCUAAAGGUGGACGUAGGGGUUUGUUUGGCCUUGUUAGGAAGGGUUGUCUCCCUUGGUAGGUGGUCUUGGGCGGUGUUCGUUUCUUGUUUUUUGCUUUGUCUUGUUUUCUCUUUUUUCUCCUGUUUUCUCUUAGUUUUGCAGGUUCUUGUGUCCUUGGCCUUCUUGUCUGGAUGCGGCUGGCUUCUCCCUCUGUUUUGGGUUGGUUCUGUUGCGUUGUUUAGUGUUCUCCUGCCUUUGCUGUUCCGGUGUUGGGGCUGUGUCGUUCGUCUGUCGACGGCUUCAUGUUUUUUCUCUUGUUUUGGGUGGAAGGGGCCGGGCUGCCUUGGGGCAAUGGUUUGGCCAGAGUUUUGAGGGCUGUCUUUUCGCCACUUCCUUAUGUUGUUUGUUUGUUGUUUCCUCUUUUGCGUGGUUUUUUUCCUUUGAGAGGGAUUUUGAGCUAUAUUUUCUGAGGCUCGCCCCUUGUUUGCGCCUGUACUUUCAAGGUUUUUUUCACAUUUUCUUUUUUCAAUAAAAUUUCCAUUUCAGCAUUGUA